This 460-nucleotide ribosomal RNA is filed under the name uncultured Prevotella sp. RNAcentral describes it as "bacterial SSU rRNA". It matches the Rfam family "Bacterial small subunit ribosomal RNA", at positions 338 to 795 of the family's 1533-position model. Lineage: Bacteria; Pseudomonadati; Bacteroidota; Bacteroidia; Bacteroidales; Prevotellaceae. The record is from RNAcentral.
CCUACGGGAGGCAGCAGUGAGGAAUAUUGGUCAAUGGGCGCAAGCCUGAACCAGCCAAGUAGCGUGCAGGAAGACGGCCCUAUGGGUUGUAAACUGCUUUUAUACGAGAAUAAUUUGAUGCACGUGUGCGUUAUUGCAUGUAUCGUAUGAAUAAGGACCGGCUAAUUCCGUGCCAGCAGCCGCGGUAAUACGGAAGGUCCAGGCGUUAUCCGGAUUUAUUGGGUUUAAAGGGAGUGUAGGCGGUUUGUUAAGCGUGUUGUGAAAUUUAGGUGCUCAACAUUUAACUUGCAGCGCGAACUGUCAGACUUGAGUACACGCAACGUAUGCGGAAUUCAUGGUGUAGCGGUGAAAUGCUUAGAUAUCAUGAAGAACUCCGAUUGCGAAGGCAGCAUACGGGAGUGUAACUGACGCUUAAGCUCGAAGGUGCGGGUAUCGAACAGGAUUAGAUACCCCGGUAGUC